CCACCGCCGCCGCAACCACCGAAACCACAUCCGCCUCCUCCGCUCGGUGCUCCGUAGCUCGACGAUGGUCCGCCACCACCUCCACCACCUAGAUUGGGUGUUCCAUAACUAGUAGACGGUGGCAGAUAACUACCAAGUCAUACUAACUCGCAACGAUCUCGAUUUCUCGAGUAUGGAUGGGAACGACAUCGUUGAGACAUGCUUAGAGAGACGCGCUUUGUCGGCCUUGAUGUCAUCCUGGAUGGAAGAUCGCUCGAGAAAGAUCAUCAUGACGUGAAGGAAAGAUCGUACCUUCCCUCGCGGAUCUUAUGCUCACGUUGCUUAGUUUUCGUCACAUCAUAUAUACGUCUAUCUCACUCUCUCCUUCCCUCAUCUGCUUCGACAAGGGAAUUGCUUCAUUUCGACGUCGGGCUAAUUGAUUAAAGGGAUUAUAUGCCGCGAAGAAGCUACGAGGCGUCACGGAUCUAUCUAUCCUGCCGACCGAUUUUCUCACUCAAGAGGAACAAAUGUGGUAAGAGUGAGUGAGUGAAAAAGAGAGAAAGAGAAAGAGAAAGAGAAAGAUAGAGAAAGGUGAUUUUAUUUCGCAAGUCUCGUUUCGUUUCUUCCUUCAACUUCUGCGCUUGCCCUUCCUCAAAGAUCGAUCCAGGUAUAGGUGUAUGUAUGUGUGUAAUACGUAAGUACUUGCUUGCCUCUAUCUUUCAUUCUCUUUCGAACUUCUUUUCUCUCUUUUUUUUGUUUUUACUCUUUUUUCUUUUUAUUCUUCUUCUUCUUCUUCUUCUUCUUCUUCUUACUCUUGGUUCUUGAACGAAGUGAAUCCAACCUGUGCACUUGUACUUAUGGAUCAUUUUGGAUUAACGCUUGGUGAUUUAUCAAUGGUGAUUUCGAACUGGGUCGUACAGAUUACUCGAACGAUCCCUAUCGAAUAAGAUAUCGUGCCCUGUAUUCCGAGAAUACUUGAAAGUUGAAAUAUCUAUGUAUGAUUAUUUUAAAACAAGCAAUUACUUUCAUAUAUUAUGUUGACAAAAAGGAUCUAACAAAGUAUAAAAAUAAUUGAAUGAAAUUAUUUAAUUUGUUUCGUGUGUUUUUUUUAUUAUAAGAUAGUUGGACUACGAUAAUAACAAUAUUUUAAAUAAUUUCUUUUUUAAUUCUCACAGAUUGAAUAUUUUAUUCUGAUGUAAUUUUUGGAAAAAAGAUAUUAUCUAAAGAUAAAAUAAAAAUUAUAUACGAUGCAGAUCACUUUUGUAAUUGAUUAAGCUAGACUUUUCUAAAUGGAUGGGUUUAUCGAUUCUUUCCCUGAUGUUGUCUUUCGAAAUAGGUCGAUAUGGACUCGAUACCUUUUUGGAUUGAACGAUACUAUAAUACACUAAUUCGAAUUUAAAGUUGUGAAAAAGAAUCUAUGAAAAAUAUUAAUAAUGAACGAUCGAUUGAAUUAUUAUAUUAGAAUGCGAAUGAAAAUAUGAAUAAAUAAUGGUAAGAAUAUAUAAAGAAAAAUGAAAAUUAUGAAAAUUACAGUAACAGCACGACCUUUCUCGAUACAAUCGAACAAUAUAUAAUAAUUAGAUACUCGUAGGAAUAAUCGAGGAAGACGAAUGGACCUUGAAAUUAAUGAGAUCCAUUCGCCAUUCGCUGCACGCUACAAUUUUUACGAUAAUUAUUUUCUCCCUGUUUUUUUCCUUCUUUUCUUUCUUUUUUUUUUUUUUUUUUUUUUUUAAACAUGACGAACGAAUGAAGAUACAUCUAUUAAAAAUUAAAAGGAGUAAAAUAAAAGAACUCAAAGAAGUUCGUCAAGAGAAAUCAUUUCUUAAUUUGAUUUCUCAAGGACUAAACUCAUCUCUUUCAACAAAAAUGAUUAGCUAUUAUAAGUAGCCAUAUAAUACAAUUCUUCAAGGCUGUCUCAUAACCUUUUAUGAUUUCAUUAAUCUUUCGUAGAAUAGAUGAAUUGUUUCUUUUUUAUUAUAUAAAAGGACGAAGAUCUUUUGAUCGAAAUUACCUUUAAUUAAAUCAAAAUUAUAUUAUUUCAAAUCACAGUAGUACUUUUAAUUUUUAGAUCAAAUAAAAAUAAUUCACUUGGAUCGAUUGAUCAUCGAUCCAUUUGUCUUUCACUGUAUAUUACUCAAUUUCUUUUUCUUUGCUGCACGUUUAUAUUAUUCUACUUACAUAAGGAUGUAAUUCAUUUAAUAAUAAUAAUUAUUAUUAUUAGUUAGAGCCAUGAGUAAGAAAGAGUUAUAUCUAUUAUUAAUCAACUUGAUGAUUUUUUUCUCGAAAUAUUGAAAAGCAUUAUUAUAUAGAAACAUAUAAAAUUCUUCGACAUCGUAUUUAUUCAGGUCGAUGAGCUAAGUAACUCGAAAUAACUCAUUGUGCAUCGACCUUCUCUCCCCUCCUUCCUAUAUCUCCCACUUAUGAACCCUCGUGCGUUCACCACCUAUUACCCUCCUCCCCCUCUUCCUCCUCCUUCCUCCUUCUUUACCACCCGUCAUGUAUCCGAGAACGUGCUCGAUUUAUAUCGAGUCCAGGAUUACGUCAUCGCGAGGACCUGGCCGAUGUCAUCGACAGACGGGUAGAACUCACAUAAUUAAAACGUCCAGCUGGAACGUAAAUAUUAACUCCACGUUACGAUCGAUUGCAAUCUACAAGUACGAAUUCAUACAUGUGAGUAUCACAAAAAAAUGAAAGUAAAAUCAAGAAAAAAAAAUGAUUAUGCAAUCAUUUGUCUUGAUCUACUUUGGAGGAUUAACGAGAUUUAACAAAUUUAUCUAUCAUUUUAUGUACUAUAAUUACCGAAUGAUAACAAAAAAACCAAUUUCCCCCACUCUUCCUCUUAACAAAAACAGAGAUUACGAUCUCUUUAAGAGCCAUUCGAUGUUAUAAUUACGAUAUCUCUAUCUAUUUUAGACUGUAUUAUUGAAAGCACGGGAAUAAAUACUUGUCUUUAAGUGCU
Molecule: long non-coding RNA, 2938 nt
Organism: Vespula vulgaris
Lineage: Eukaryota; Metazoa; Arthropoda; Insecta; Hymenoptera; Vespidae
Exons: 3
Source: RefSeq, a predicted model, not a curated record